UGAACGCAUUCAGUGUUUUGUGGACUUGGGCGAAAGCACUGAAAUUGAGGAUGGAGCAAGAAUUAAUUUGGUCAUUUGCGAUGAUCCUGAGAAACUAAUGGCAGAAAAACAGCUGUUUCAACUUCUUUUAAGAUGGGCCCAGUGUUUGUCACAGAGACCAUAAAUUUCAUGAAGGAGUUGUCAGAUUCGAAGCCAAGCAUGGAAAAGGUCAAACAUGCGAUGGAUCGAACAUGCCAGGCUAGAAGUGGAUGCAAUGAACAUACAAGAUUUCCAUAAGUUGUAUCCAGCACUAAUGGUUGAAAAGGAAUUGGGACAAGAUCGGGAGUAUGCUGGAUGUUCAACUUCACAGUUUACACAGGCACUCAAUAAGAGCAUGCAGGACAGUGAGAUUAUUGCCGCACUUAACACAAGUUGGAAGAUCGCC
This is a non-coding RNA of Dermacentor albipictus, 424 nucleotides long. The record is from RefSeq and is a predicted model, not a curated record. NCBI's taxonomy places the organism in Eukaryota, Metazoa, Arthropoda, Arachnida, Ixodida, Ixodidae.